GGGCCUCUUGCCAUCAGAUGUGCCCAGAUGGGAUUAGCUUGUUGGUGAGGUAACGGCUCACCAAGGCGACGAUCCCUAGCUGGUCUGAGAGGAUGACCAGCCACACUGGAACUGAGACACGGUCCAGACUCCUACGGGAGGCAGCAGUGGGGAAUAUUGCACAAUGGGCGCAAGCCUGAUGCAGCCAUGCCGCGUGUAUGAAGAAGGCCUUCGGGUUGUAAAGUACUUUCAGCGGGGAGGAAGGUGUUGUGGUUAAUAACCGCAGCAAUUGACGUUACCCGCAGAAGAAGCACCGGCUAACUCCGUGCCAGCAGCCGCGGUAAUACGGAGGGUGCAAGCGUUAAUCGGAAUUACUGGGCGUAAAGCGCACGCAGGCGGUCUGUCAAGUCGGAUGUGAAAUCCCCGGGCUCAACCUGGGAACUGCAUUCGAAACUGGCAGGCUUGAGUCUUGUAGAGGGGGGUAGAAUUCCAGGUGUAGCGGUGAAAUGCGUAGAGAUCUGGAGGAAUACCG
Molecule: ribosomal RNA, 511 nt
Filed under: Salmonella enterica subsp. enterica serovar Oranienburg
Lineage: Bacteria; Pseudomonadati; Pseudomonadota; Gammaproteobacteria; Enterobacterales; Enterobacteriaceae
Description: bacterial SSU rRNA
Rfam family: Bacterial small subunit ribosomal RNA
Source: RNAcentral